Molecule: long non-coding RNA, 548 nt
Organism: Artibeus jamaicensis (Jamaican fruit-eating bat)
Lineage: Eukaryota; Metazoa; Chordata; Mammalia; Chiroptera; Phyllostomidae
Exons: 4
Source: RefSeq, a predicted model, not a curated record
UCAACCUUGGAAAUGUAAAGGAAAAAAUAGACUCUCCCUUUAAGACUCUGACAGAGUGGGUCAGAGUGGAACAAACUUGCCUGGCUCCCAUUCACAUCUCGAAGAAGCCUCAUCUGAACUAGGGUAGAGUGACAGUGGCAGGUUUGGCACCUCUAGUGCUGGCACAAGCUACAACAAAGAAAUACGGACAACGGUUAUCUUUUUUUUUUUUUUGUCAUUUAUAAACUCAUCUCAUAUUGGGAACUCACAAAGCCCCAGACGUACCUCAGGGGAAGGGGAUUGACUUAGAAAAAGCUUCCUGAAUUAAAGAAGAUGAGACUCAGGUUCUCCAGCUUCAGAAAUGAAGCCGACAUGACAUCCUGCUGGAGCAUGAACUGGGCACCAACCCGUCUUCUGCGCUAGCCCACCGCCAGCUCACCAACCCUGCGCAGGGCCGGGCUGCAGUGCCUGGGCAGGGAUGGGGCUGCGGGAGGUGACCGUGAAGCAGCGGGACACUGGCAGCCACCCCAGCUUUGGGGAAGUGCUAUAACUUCCCACUGGUGGGAAGC